GCCAGUUUUUCUCAGUGGUUAGAGUGUUGGCCUGUGGACCCAAGGGACACAGGUUUGAUUCCUGCUCAAAGGCA
Molecule: non-coding RNA, 74 nt
Organism: Myotis lucifugus (little brown bat)
Lineage: Eukaryota; Metazoa; Chordata; Mammalia; Chiroptera; Vespertilionidae
Source: Rfam